AAGGUGACUCUGGACGUGACGAUGGGAACCGCCUGCUCUUUCCUGCAGGAGCUGGUGUCCGUGGGCCUUGGAGACAGUAGGACGGGUGAGAUGACAGUCCUGGGACAUGUGAAGCACAAACUUGUAUGUUCUCCCAAUUUUGAAUCCCUGUUGGAUCACAAGCACCGGUAAAACGAGCAGAUGGAGCAUGGUGGUGACUGCCCACGGCUGCUGCCUGCUCCAGACGUUUUGUUCUCAAAUCUGUUGGACCCAGAAGGGGCCUGUUUAGCCCACCCACUCCAGCCAUUGUCCCAGUUUUCCCCCCAGGGCCCACGCGGCUCCCUCCCACAGCAGCCGUGAAUGGCGACGACCUUCCCACAGCACAGAAACUGCACCUCCUCACCGCUGGGGGAUUUGUCCUUGCUAUUUAUUUUUAUAUUUAUGUCUUAUCUCUUCACCUGCCUGUCCCCUCCCCAGGUGGAGAGGGGACGGUCUGUGGGAAAGGGUGCUUUCCCUUUGCUUCUCAGGGUGGGAAACGGAAGGACGGCUGCUUUUGCUCCCUCCUUCCUCCUGUGAGGCAACGCCCAAGAGCGAGUGGGGAAUUCUUGAGUCUGAGAUGCAGUCCCAGCUCUGCUGUUACUAAUCGUGUGAUUGGUCAAACUACCUAACCUUUCUGAGCCUCAUGUUCCUCAUCUGAGAAAAAUGAGGACGAUACCUACCUCACAGGGUUGGUGUGAGGAUGAAAUGGAGCAUUUUCGAUGAAAACUCCUUGCACAAGGCCAGAUGUACACAGUAGUCACUCAAUAAAUGUUAGUUUAGUUUCCCUUUGCCUGAGUCUAAUUUCAAGCCAGUGUUGCAGCUCCCUUUGCCGUGAGCUUAGCAAACCACCUUUGGAACAGGUGUGAACCACACGGGCUCUUCCUGACUUAAGUGGCCCCAGAGAUUUUGGACGGAUAUGCCUUCCUUCCCUCCUUCUCUUUGUUCUUUGAGCCUGUUUUUUAUUCAUCAUUCAUUCUACACUGAGCCCAGCAAGCUCCUAGCCACAGCCAGGAGGCAGGACUGACUAGUCCCCACGUCACCCCUUCUGUAGCUAAGAGCUCAGGUGAGCUCUGUUGGAUGCUGAUGUUCUGAUCUUUGUAGAGGACAAGCAGAAAGGGUUCCUGGAGUCGUGGGCCGUGGAAGUCCUGUUUAGUCGAAGGCUGAGCUUUGGUGAAGCAACUGCUUCUUUGGUCUCUGGGCUUCAUUGUUUGCUGCUUCUCCUUUUCAGGAGUAAUGCACUGCCAGUGAGUCUCCAUUGUAGUCCUCUCUUUGUUUCUCUUGGUUUGUCUGGUUCAGAAACACUCUUCUUUUCCAGGCUAACUCAAACCUGCCUCGUGAGAUGUUGGGUGUUUUAGUCUUUAGUUGUUUGUUCUGCGGAGGCCUGAGGGAAAGCAUCUCCCACUUGACAGUUCAUCGCUUCACCGUUUCAGGUAUCUUGGGGAUUAAGUCAUGACUCGGCGUCAGCAUCUCCAUGACCUCUCUCUCUCUUCCUCAUACACAAAUUGGACAGUGUUGGUAGAAGGACAGGGCAGGCACCCAGAGCACACAUUUCUACCAACAGAUAAAUGCAAAUAACAAGGACAAAAAAGCCCAAAGCUAAAUUCAUGUAUGAGUGAAAAAUGGAUGCAAAUUUAUUACUCUCUACAUCUGUGUGUAUUUUGUUAAUAUGCCGAAUGUGCACUAUAUAGGCUUGUUCAUUUUUAAUUACUUUGCUAAGUCACAGAGUGUGGGUUUUAGAGUCAGAAACGGGUUUGAAUCUAACUACCAGUAAUUUUGGGGGAAAUUACCCUCCCUAAGUUCAAUUUUUCUCAUUUUCUGUAAAAAUGAGGUAAUAGUAGCUUUUUAAUAGGGUUGCUUUUAAAUUAUAGUGGACACAAAGCAUUUAUUUCGUGCCAGACAGAAAAGUGGUUCUGUCAGGAUGUAUUCAGCACAAGUAACCAAAAACUAGACUGACAGUGACGUAAACAAUUAGGGCAUUUAAUUAUCUCAUGUAAUGGGAAGUCUGGAAAUAGAUGGUUCCAGAGUUGGGUAGCAGCCAGAAUGUCAUCAGAAUUUUCUUGGAUCCAUUUGUUCUGCCAUCCUUGGUCUUGCAAAGUGGCUGUUACAGCUCAGCAUCCUUUCUUCAAAUUACAGUGUCCAAAGCCAAAGCUGGAAGCAAAGUAGACAGCAGCAAAGGAACUUUCUCCUCAUGCUGUUCUCAUCAGAAGGAAUAUCCUUUAGAGGCCCAAAGAGACUUGCCCUUAUGUCUCUUGAUAGAGCUGGGCCACCCUUGCAUGGGCACUGGCAGAGAGGGGUGGACAGUUUGUCCCCUGGCACUGACAGCUUGUUGCCUAUGAGACGGUUUUGUUAGUAGGUAGGAAACAGGAAUGGCAGUUAGGUAGACAGUCCAUGAUAGCUGCCACCACAAUUAAAAAAUACACUGUCUAUUGUAAAAUCCUAAAGUAGGUAGAAUUUUUGAAAUGUUCAAUUACCUUUUAUUCUACUAAAUAAACCAGUUUUAAUAUUUUAGUGCAUAUUCUUUCAGACUACAAAAUUGCAUAUGUUGCACAUAAUAUAAACAUGCUGUCCUAUUAUGUGUUCCAUCUCACUCAAAGGUAAAUACAGUUCUUCCACGUUAAUAACCAUCUUGUACUUCAGGUACUUCUGAUCUAACUGAAAGUAUCAGAGACAGCAAGCACCCUUAAAUCCUCCCAGACCUACCCACAUGUUCCAGUGGAAUUGAUCCCUCACACUCAGCUCUUUAAAAGAAAAGAGGGGGAGUUCCCAUCGUGGCGCAGUGGUUAACGA
Molecule: long non-coding RNA, 2805 nt
Filed under: Sus scrofa (pig)
Lineage: Eukaryota; Metazoa; Chordata; Mammalia; Artiodactyla; Suidae
Description: lncRNA (ENSSSCG00040016184.1)
Source: RNAcentral